This 368-nucleotide non-coding RNA is filed under the name Vibrio nigripulchritudo. RNAcentral also lists the same sequence under 5 other names. Lineage: Bacteria; Pseudomonadati; Pseudomonadota; Gammaproteobacteria; Vibrionales; Vibrionaceae. The record is from RNAcentral.
UAUCUUCAGGAAGAAGAUUUGGUCAUUCAGGAUGAAUGAUCAGCAUGGAGCGAACGGACAUUGAAUGGACUCAAUCGUUAUCAGGAAGAUGACGACUAAGGAAAGACGAUGGACACCUCAGGACUGAGGCAGGGAACAAACAUCAGGAUGAUGUAAGGGACACCGCUCAAGGAACAAGUGAGUGCGCUAAUCAGGAAGGUUAGCAGAUCAGGAUAGGAUCAUGGACACCGCUAGGAUGGCGAUGAAAGGAUUAAGCUGAAGGACACAGCAUACUAUCAAGGAUUUGAUGCAUGGAGCACCUAUAGUAGCCGGAUUGCUGCGAGUAAGACUACAGCCCCGAUACGAAAGUAUCGGGGCUUUUCUUUUGU